GACGAACGCUGGCGGCGUGCUUAACACAUGCAAGUCGAACGGUGAAGCGCCUUCCUUUUUGGUGGGUGUGGAUGAGUGGCGAACGGGUGAGUAACACGUGAGUAACCUGCCCCCUUCUUCUGGAUAACCGCAUGAAAGUGUGGCUAAUACGGGAUAUUCUGGGUCUGUCGCAUGAUGGGUCAGGGAAAGAUAUUGUUUCGGUGGGGGAUGGGCUCGCGGCCUAUCAGCUUGUUGGUGGGGUGAUGGCCUACCAAGGCGGUGACGGGUAGCCGGCCUGAGAGGGUGGACGGUCACACUGGGACUGAGACACGGCCCAGACUCCUACGGGAGGCAGCAGUGGGGAAUAUUGCACAAUGGGCGCAAGCCUGAUGCAGCGACGCCGCGUGAGGGAUGGAGGCCUUCGGGUUGUGAACCUCUUUCGCCAGUGAAGCAGGCCUGCCUCGUUUGUGGGUGGGUUGACGGUAGCUGGAUAAGAAGCGCCGGCUAACUACGUG
This 494-nucleotide ribosomal RNA is filed under the name uncultured bacterium. Its description in RNAcentral is "partial 16S ribosomal RNA". It matches the Rfam family "Bacterial small subunit ribosomal RNA", at positions 28 to 507 of the family's 1533-position model. The record is from RNAcentral.